RNAcentral lists this ribosomal RNA (1344 nucleotides) under Lactiplantibacillus pentosus. RNAcentral describes it as "bacterial SSU rRNA". It matches the Rfam family "Bacterial small subunit ribosomal RNA", at positions 71 to 1401 of the family's 1533-position model. The record is from RNAcentral. Lineage: Bacteria; Bacillati; Bacillota; Bacilli; Lactobacillales; Lactobacillaceae.
UUCAUGAUUUACAUUUGAGUUGAGUUGGCGAACUUGGUGAGUAACACGUGGGAAACCUGCCCAGAAGCGGGGGAUAACACCUGGAAACAGAUGCUAAUACCGCAUAACAACUUGGACCGCAUGGUCCGAGUUUGAAAGAUGGCUUCGGCUAUCACUUUUGGAUGGUCCCGCGGCGUAUUAGCUAGAUGGUGGGGUAACGGCUCACCAUGGCAAUGAUACGUAGCCGACCUGAGAGGGUAAUCGGCCACAUUGGGACUGAGACACGGCCCAAACUCCUACGGGAGGCAGCAGUAGGGAAUCUUCCACAAUGGACGAAAGUCUGAUGGAGCAACGCCGCGUGAGUGAAGAAGGGUUUCGGCUCGUAAAACUCUGUUGUUAAAGAAGAACAUAUCUGAGAGUAACUGUUCAGGUAUUGACGGUAUUUAACCAGAAAGCCACGGCUAACUACGUGCCAGCAGCCGCGGUAAUACGUAGGUGGCAAGCGUUGUCCGGAUUUAUUGGGCGUAAAGCGAGCGCAGGCGGUUUUUUAAGUCUGAUGUGAAAGCCUUCGGCUCAACCGAAGAAGUGCAUCGGAAACUGGGAAACUUGAGUGCAGAAGAGGACAGUGGAACUCCAUGUGUAGCGGUGAAAUGCGUAGAUAUAUGGAAGAACACCAGUGGCGAAGGCGGCUGUCUGGUCUGUAACUGACGCUGAGGCUCGAAAGUAUGGGUAGCAAACAGGAUUAGAUACCCUGGUAGUCCAUACCGUAAACGAUGAAUGCUAAGUGUUGGAGGGUUUCCGCCCUUCAGUGCUGCAGCUAACGCAUUAAGCAUUCCGCCUGGGGAGUACGGCCGCAAGGCUGAAACUCAAAGGAAUUGACGGGGGCCCGCACAAGCGGUGGAGCAUGUGGUUUAAUUCGAAGCUACGCGAAGAACCUUACCAGGUCUUGACAUACUAUGCAAAUCUAAGAGAUUAGACGUUCCCUUCGGGGACAUGGAUACAGGUGGUGCAUGGUUGUCGUCAGCUCGUGUCGUGAGAUGUUGGGUUAAGUCCCGCAACGAGCGCAACCCUUAUUAUCAGUUGCCAGCAUUAAGUUGGGCACUCUGGUGAGACUGCCGGUGACAAACCGGAGGAAGGUGGGGAUGACGUCAAAUCAUCAUGCCCCUUAUGACCUGGGCUACACACGUGCUACAAUGGAUGGUACAACGAGUUGCGAACUCGCGAGAGUAAGCUAAUCUCUUAAAGCCAUUCUCAGUUCGGAUUGUAGGCUGCAACUCGCCUACAUGAAGUCGGAAUCGCUAGUAAUCGCGGAUCAGCAUGCCGCGGUGAAUACGUUCCCGGGCCUUGUACACACCGCCCGUCACA